Molecule: ribosomal RNA, 253 nt
Filed under: uncultured bacterium
Lineage: Bacteria
Description: partial 16S ribosomal RNA
Rfam family: Bacterial small subunit ribosomal RNA
Source: RNAcentral
UACGUAGGGUGCGAGCGUUAAUCGGAAUUACUGGGCGUAAAGCGUGCGCAGGCGGCGCGUUAAGACAGGUGUGAAAGCCCCGAGCUUAACUUGGGAAUUGCGCUUGUGACUGGCGUGCUGGAGUGUGGCAGAGGGAGGUGGAAUUCCACGUGUAGCAGUGAAAUGCGUAGAGAUGUGGGGGAACACCGAUGGCGAAGGCAGCCUCCUGGGCCAGCACUGACGCUCAUGCACGAAAGCGUGGGGAGCAAACAGG